GUCUUUUUGAUAAUAAUUUAAAGUCUAGCCUGCCCAAUGAUAAUUUAAAUGGCCGCGGUAUUUUGACCGUGCAAAGGUAGCAUAAUCAUUAGUUUUUUAAUUGAAAGCUUGUAUGAAAGGUUGAACGAAAAAAUUACUGUCUCAAUUUUAUUUAAUAAAAAUUUUAUAUUUGAGUUAAAAAGCUUAAAUAUAUUUAAAAGACGAGAAGACCCUAUAGAGUUUUAUAUAAUUUAAAAUUUAUUUGUAAAUAAUUAAAUUUAAUUUUAAUUUAUAUUUUAUUGGGGUGAUAAAUAAAUUUAAUAAACUUUAUAUAAUUUUUUACAUUGAUUUAUGAUAAUUUUGAUCCAUAUUUUUGAUUAUAAGAUUAAAUUACCUUAGGGAUAACAGCGUAAUUUUUUUUGAGAGUUCUUAUCGAAAAAAAAUUUUGCGACCUCGAUGUUGGAUUAAAAUUUAAUUUUGGUGUAGAAGCUAAAAUAUUGAGUCUGUUCGACUUUUAAAAUUUUACAUGAUCUGAGUUUAAACCGGUGUAAGCCAGGUUGGUUUCUAUCUUUAAAAAAUUAAAAUAUUUUAGUACGAAAGGACCAAAUAUUUAUAAAAAUUAUUUUAAUUGAAUAU
Molecule: ribosomal RNA, 615 nt
Filed under: Ochthebius balfourbrownei
Lineage: Eukaryota; Metazoa; Arthropoda; Insecta; Coleoptera; Hydraenidae
Description: partial 16S ribosomal RNA
Rfam family: Bacterial large subunit ribosomal RNA (bases 380-538)
Source: RNAcentral